GGAGAGAGGGGAGGAAGCAGGAGAGGGAGGGGGAGAGGCCAAGAAGCUUUGACUGUCAAUGGGGAGCUUCAAGAGGCCCAGAUCCGGCAAUGGACUAAGAGAGAGAGGGGGAGAGAGAGGGGGAGAGAGAGGCCAAGAAGCUUCGACUAUCAACAGGGAGCUCUGUGAGCCCCAAAUUCGGCAAUGGACUGAGAGAUAGAGGGGGGAGGGGAAGAAAGAGACUAACCUGUCAUCACCACCAUCAUACGUCGUCGUUGUCGACGGAUGGCUUCGAAUGAGAUUAGGGCAUCAAAUAGAGGGAGCAAGGCUGGUGAGCGACCAAGGCUUCAAAGUUAAAUAGAGUUGGCCUUUUAUAAUCUGUUUCGACCAGUUGAACCAUGCUAGUAAUCGGCCAAUCUGAUUUGAUAAGCCAGCCGAUUUGGCACAUUCCGAACCAGCCGGUUCGGCACAUCCCGAACCACCAGGUUCGGCACAUCCCGAACCACCAGGUUCGGCAUGGUUCGGCAAUCCUUGCAUCUAUCCUUAUAUAAAAUCCAAAUCUUUCAAAUUCCUAUCACCCUCAUGUCUUUAAACUAUCUUUUCUUGAGAGAAUGAGAGAAGUUGGAGCAAAGUCAAAGCUAGUUUUCACGUCCAAUAAUUGUAAACAUAAAAAACUAUGAUAAAAUCUUGGUGCCAUUCUAGUCACAAAAUUCAUUACCAGCUGACACAAACAAGCCAUAUAAAUUUAAACUAGUUAAUCUAAUUCAAGUACCUCU
This 755-nucleotide long non-coding RNA is filed under the name Phoenix dactylifera (date palm). RNAcentral describes it as "long non-coding RNA (PDAC_LNC002753)". The record is from RNAcentral. Lineage: Eukaryota; Viridiplantae; Streptophyta; Magnoliopsida; Arecales; Arecaceae.